Molecule: ribosomal RNA, 1053 nt
Filed under: uncultured Methanosaeta sp.
Lineage: Archaea; Methanobacteriati; Methanobacteriota; Methanomicrobia; Methanotrichales; Methanotrichaceae
Description: bacterial SSU rRNA
Rfam family: Archaeal small subunit ribosomal RNA
Source: RNAcentral
CGCGGGAUUGGGGGGACGGGGUGCAACAGGCCCCAAAACUUUACAAUGCCGGCAACGGCGAUAAGGGAACCUCGAGUGCCAGGUUACAAAUCUGGCUGUCGUGAUGCCUAAAAAGCAUUGCAUAGCAAGGGCCGGGCAAGACCGGUGCCAGCCGCCGCGGUAACACCGGCGGCUCGAGUGGUAACCGUUAUUAUUGGGUCUAAAGGGUCUGUAGCCGGCCGGAUAAGUCUCUUGGGAAAUCCAGCAGCUCAACUGUUGGGCUUUCAGGAGAUACUGUUCGGCUCGAGGCCGGGAGAGGUGAGAGGUACUUCAGGGGUAGGGGUGAAAUCUUGUAAUCCUUGAAGGACCACCAGUGGCGAAGGCGUCUCACCAGAACGGACCUGACGGCAAGGGACGAAAGCUAGGGGCACGAACCGGAUUAGAUACCCGGGUAGUCCUAGCCGUAAACGAUACUCGCUAGGUGUCGGCCACGGUGCGACCGUUGUCGGUGCCGUAAGGAAGCCGUGAAGCGAGCCACCUGGGAAGUACGGCCGCAAGGCUGAAACUUAAAGGAAUUGGCGGGGGAGCACCACAACGGGUGGAAGCUUGCGGUUUAAUUGGAUUCAACGCCGGAAAUCUUACCGGGACCGACAGCAAUAUGAAGGCCAGGCUGAAGACUUUGCCAGAUUAGCUGAGAGGUGGUGCAUGGCCGUCGUCAGUUCGUACUGUGAAGCAUCCUGUUAAGUCAGGCAACGAGCGAGACCCACGCCCACAGUUGCCAGCGUACUCUCCGGAGUGACGGGUACACUGUGGGGACCGCCGCUGCUAAAGCGGAGGAAGGAAUGGGCAACGGUAGGUCAGUAUGCCCCGAAUAUCCCGGGCUACACGCGAGCUACAAGGGUUGGUACAAUGGGUAUCUACCCCGAAAGGGGAUGGAAAUCUCCUAAAGCCAAUCUUAGUUCGGAUUGAGGGCUGCAACUCGCCCUCAUGAAGCUGGAAUCCGUAGUAAUCGCGUUUCAACAGAACGCGGUGAAUACGUCCCUGCUCCUUGCAGGAAAUCGCCGAAUCACUAGU